This is a non-coding RNA of Pelobates cultripes (western spadefoot toad), 397 nucleotides long. The record is from the annotation of a GenBank genome assembly. Lineage: Eukaryota; Metazoa; Chordata; Amphibia; Anura; Pelobatidae.
UCCGGAUCUAUCCAAGAAUAUCUUACUCUGGAACUUGGUGUUCUUUUCAAUUCUUUCCCAGACAAAAGCUUUGCUCAUUUUAAUCAACCACCUUUACAGGCAAAGAUCACACUAUGGAUAUUUUACUGUUACAACAAUGAUCAAAGAUGCUGGGAGCACAAAAAAACCUAAAGACUGUUGGAGAACUUUGGUUCACUAAUUUAAGGAAGAAAUGCGCUACAAUGCCCACAGUUUAAUGGAGAGGGUGUUAUGGGCAAAUGCAAAUAUUACAAGUUUUAGAAUGAAAUGUUGUAUUUCUUAAACUGUGUACUUUGUCUUUAAGAGAUAUUGCAAACUGACAAGGUGUUAGAAAUGGAACAUAUUGUUUUUCAUAACUGUUUCUUUAAGCAAUAACCUC